RNAcentral lists this ribosomal RNA (450 nucleotides) under uncultured bacterium. RNAcentral describes it as "bacterial SSU rRNA". It matches the Rfam family "Bacterial small subunit ribosomal RNA", at positions 354 to 796 of the family's 1533-position model. The record is from RNAcentral.
GUGGGGAAUUUUGGACAAUGGGGGCAACCCUGAUCCAGCCAUGCCGCGUGAGGGAAGAAGGCCUUCGGGUUGUAAACCUCUUUCGGGCGGGACGAAAUCGCACCGGUGAAUAAUCGGUGUGGAUGACGGUACCGCAAGAAGAAGCACCGGCUAACUACGUGCCAGCAGCCGCGGUAAUACGUAGGGUGCGAGCGUUAAUCGGAAUUACUGGGCGUAAAGCGUGCGCAGGCGGCCGCUCAAGCCAGGCGUGAAAGCCCCGGGCUCAACCUGGGAAUGGCGCUUGGGACUGAGUGGCUGGAGUGCGGAAGAGGGAGCUGGAAUUCCUGGUGUAGCAGUGAAAUGCGUAGAGAUCAGGAGGAACACCGAUGGCGAAGGCAGGCUCCUGGGCUAGCACUGACGCUCAUGCACGAAAGCGUGGGGAGCAAACAGGAUUAGAAACCCCUGUAGUCC